RNAcentral lists this ribosomal RNA (116 nucleotides) under Pteropus alecto (black flying fox). Lineage: Eukaryota; Metazoa; Chordata; Mammalia; Chiroptera; Pteropodidae. The record is from RNAcentral.
GUCUAUGGCCAUGCCACCCUGAACAAGCCCGAUGUCUGAUCUUGGAAGCUAAGCAGGGUGGGGCCUGGUUAGUACUUGGAUGGGAGACCAUGUAGGAAGACCAGGUGCUAUAGGCA